Molecule: ribosomal RNA, 547 nt
Filed under: Debaryomyces maramus
Lineage: Eukaryota; Fungi; Ascomycota; Pichiomycetes; Serinales; Debaryomycetaceae
Description: eukaryotic LSU rRNA
Rfam family: Eukaryotic large subunit ribosomal RNA
Source: RNAcentral
GAAACCAACAGGGAUUGCCUUAGUAACGGCGAGUGAAGCGGCAAAAGCUCAAAUUUGAAAUCUGGCACCUUCGGUGUCCGAGUUGUAAUUUGAAGAAGGUAACUUUGGAGUUGGCUCUUGUCUAUGUUCCUUGGAACAGGACGUCACAGAGGGUGAGAAUCCCGUGCGAUGAGAUGCCCAAUUCUAUGUAAAGUGCUUUCGAAGAGUCGAGUUGUUUGGGAAUGCAGCUCUAAGUGGGUGGUAAAUUCCAUCUAAAGCUAAAUAUUGGCGAGAGACCGAUAGCGAACAAGUACAGUGAUGGAAAGAUGAAAAGAACUUUGAAAAGAGAGUGAAAAAGUACGUGAAAUUGUUGAAAGGGAAGGGCUUGAGAUCAGACUUGGUAUUUUGCGAUCCUUUCCUUUUUGGUUGGGUUCUCCGCAGCUUACUGGGCCAGCAUCGGUUUGGACGGUAGGAUAAUGAUUAAGGAAUGUGGCUCUGCUUCGGUGGAGUGUUAUAGCCUUGGUUGAUGCUGCCUGUCUAGACCGAGGACUGCGUCUUUUGACUAGGA